CAGAUUUGAGUUCAAGUAUAUAUCCUCCUAAGCCUGUAAUUUACCUAAAUUCCGCAGUUUCCCCUUCAAAAUGAAGGUGUCGAGGGACCCGGGGCAGUAGAUCAAAACGAAAGAGAUACACCCACACUUGACGUCCGUGGUGAAAGAGGUGCACACGCAGAGAGUUGUCACCUUUGGGGUUGAUCUGAACCGGCUGCACCAGAGGUCGAACUGGGACCAGCACCAUUUUCAAGGGGAGGAGAGGUGCCCCAUUUCCCUUCUGAUUCUAGUGGUUCAAGUACGCACACCCCACCAUCUGUGAGUCCUAAUGCAAACUGAUUAGGUUCAGAUGGAUGUGCCGCAACGACGAGAGG
This 353-nucleotide long non-coding RNA is filed under the name Vitis vinifera (wine grape). Its description in RNAcentral is "long non-coding RNA (VVIN_LNC003429)". Lineage: Eukaryota; Viridiplantae; Streptophyta; Magnoliopsida; Vitales; Vitaceae. The record is from RNAcentral.